RNAcentral lists this non-coding RNA (26 nucleotides) under Cricetulus griseus (Chinese hamster). Lineage: Eukaryota; Metazoa; Chordata; Mammalia; Rodentia; Cricetidae. The record is from RNAcentral.
UGACUGUUCUUCCAGAAGACCCAGGU